GCUUCCAUGACAUAGUGGUUAGAGCGUCCGCCUCGGAUGCGUGAGUUCAUGGGUUCGAUUCCAGGUUGAGUCA
Molecule: non-coding RNA, 73 nt
Organism: Potamilus streckersoni
Lineage: Eukaryota; Metazoa; Mollusca; Bivalvia; Unionida; Unionidae
Source: the annotation of a GenBank genome assembly